GGCGCACGGGUGGAGUAACACGUGGGUCAAUCUGCCCUCCGAUGGGGAAUAACUCCGGGAAACCGAAAGCUAAUUCCGCAUAACAUUCCCUGGAACUCCGGUUCGGGGAAUCAAAGGAGUAAUGCGUCCGGAGGAGGAGCCCGCGCCCUGAUUAGCUAGUUGGUAGGGUAACGGCCUACCAAGGCAAUGAUCGGUAGCUGGUCUGAGAGGAUGGCCAGCCACACUGGAACUGAGACACGGUCCAGACUCCUACGGGAGGCGGCAGUGGGGAAUCUUGCGCAAUGGGCGAAAGCCUGACGCAGCGACGCCGCGUGGGGGAUGAAGCUUCUCGGAGUGUAAACCCCUUUCGACUGGGACGAAUGCCCGCAAGGGGAGUGACGGUACCAGUAGAAGGAAGCCCCUGGCUAACUACGUGCCAG
Molecule: ribosomal RNA, 419 nt
Filed under: uncultured bacterium
Lineage: Bacteria
Description: bacterial SSU rRNA
Rfam family: Bacterial small subunit ribosomal RNA
Source: RNAcentral